Molecule: ribosomal RNA, 443 nt
Filed under: uncultured bacterium
Lineage: Bacteria
Description: partial 16S ribosomal RNA
Rfam family: Bacterial small subunit ribosomal RNA
Source: RNAcentral
CCUACGGGUGGCAGCAGUGGGGAAUAUUGGGCAAUGGGCGCAAGCCUGACCCAGCAACGCCGCGUGACGGAAGAAGGCUUUCGGGUUGUAAACUUCUUUUCUCAGGGACGAAGAAAGUGACGGUACCUGAGGAAUAAGCCACGGCUAACUACGUGCCAGCAGCCGCGGUAAUACGUCGGCGGCAAGCGUUAUCCGGAUUUACUGGGUGUAAAGGGCGUGUAGGCGGGAGCGCAAGUCAGAUGUGAAAACUCAGGGCUCAACCCUGAGCCUGCAUUUGAAACUGUGUUUCUUGAGUGCUGGUGAGGCAAGCGGAAUUCGGGGUGUUGCGGUGAAAUGCGUAGAUAUACGGAAGAACCCCGAUGGCGAAGGCAGAUUGCUGGACAGUAACUGACGCUGAGGCGCGAAAGCGUGGGGAGCAAACAGGAUUAGAUACCCUUGUAGUC